AAAAAAAAAACCAAUUUAAUAAUAAUUACACGAUGACGAUGACAUAACAGUAGGUUAUAAUGUAAAUGUUUGUAAUGUGACUCUAUGUUGGUGUUAAAAAAACAAAAAUUGUUUCUACGUACCGAAAUUUGCCAUAAAAAUUCAAUACGCAAUAUUUAUUCAUUUUUUAAUAUAUAAAAUACAAUAAUUAUUAUUAGUUACAUUA
Cinara cedri is the source of this 205-nucleotide non-coding RNA. NCBI's taxonomy places the organism in Eukaryota, Metazoa, Arthropoda, Insecta, Hemiptera, Aphididae. The record is from the annotation of a GenBank genome assembly.